AUGGAAACAUAGGGAAGAAAGGAAGGAAGACAAGACCGUUAGGUCACCCUCGGCGAAGAGGCUUCUCCUUCUAUUUUCCUACCUUAUUUGGCUUUUCGCUCGUUGCACACAGGGGAGAGGAGAGAAGGGAGAGAGAUGAGGGAAUCGUUUUGGGUUCGGGAGGAGGCCUAUGCGUUGAGGUCCUGGUGGGAUGAGAUUAAUGAGUCGGACAAAUGGCAGGAUGUGAUCUUCUACUUCCUCUGCGCCGCCUAUGCCGUCGUCUCGGCCGUGGCUCUGGUUCAACUAAUCCGAAUUCAGCUACGAGUCCCUGAAUAUGGAUGGACAACUCAGAAGAUCUUCCAUUUUAUGAAUUUUGUUGUGAAUGGAGUACGUGCUGUUGUGUUUGGAUUUCACACCGAUAUUUUUCUAUUCAGACCAAGAGUAUGUACUCUUGUGUUAUUGGACCUCCCUGGAAUAUUGUUUUUUUCUACAUACACACUACUUGUACUAUUUUGGGCUGAGAUAUAUCAUCAGGCAAGGAGUCUUCCGGCAGACAAGCUAAAAUUCAUAUAUAUCUUCAUUAAUUGCGCGGUAUAUAUCAUUCAGAUCUGUAUAUGGAUAUAUCUCUGGAUAAAUGAUAAUGAGGUUGUUGAGUCUAUUGGAAAGAUCUUUAUGGCAGUUGUGUCUUUUGUAGCUGCACUUGGUUUCUUGAUAUAUGGAGGAAGGCUGUUUGUCAUGCUGAGGCGAUUCCCAAUAGAAUCGAAGGGGCGACAAAAGAAACUGCACGAGGUUGAGUGGAUUAUCAGUUUCUGUGGAUUAUCAGGAUACAGGUCAGGCUUGGACUGGGCUGGCAUUGGCCGUGAUCCAGUGAAGAUAACUUCAGAUCUACAAGUCUGGCCCCAGCAUGUACCAAGGCUUGAUUUUGUUGGAUAUGUUACAGCAAUCUGUUUCACCUGCUUCCUUAUAAGGUGCAUUGUGGUUGGAUUAUCUGCAUUUGAUUCCAGUGAAUCUCUAGAUGUUUUGGAUCACCCAAUUUUGAAUUUCUUCUAUUAUAUGCUGACCGAGAUUCUUCCUUCGGGUCUUGUUCUGUACAUACUGCGCAAGCUCCCUCCAAAAAGAAUCUCAGCGCAAUAUCAUCCUAUCCGCUAAGAAGGUGUUAGUAUCCCUACCGGAUGUUUUUUUCUUGAAUAUUUCAUGGCUUACUCCAAAAUGUGCUGGAGGCCCUUUGUUUCUACUUAUUCGAGGCUCAUGAUGAAAAAUAUGUUUGGUGUAUAAGCACCUUCAAUUACUUACCGCCGCAUUGAGGUUGUGUUCUGUAUUAUUCAGAUGCCUUAGCUGCUUUCAAAGAGGUAGUCAGUAGUGAUCAUGCAUAUUGCAUAGAAGUUGUCUUCUUUUCAAAUCUUCAUUCAAGGGUGUAGUGUAUCUGGGGCUUGAAGUUUGUCAGCUACAUACUAUCAGUGCAUAAAUGAAGUCAAUGAAGUUCAACAGCUAAAAAGAAUUUCCCGCAGAUAUUGUAUCAGAAAUGCUUGACCCACAUCAUGUAGGAGAGAAAAAAAAAAACUUCGCAUCCUGCGGCUAGAGCUGCAGGAGGUGAUCAUGCCAUUUGCAGAUCAUCUGUGCCUGGCCUUGCAUGCUGAAUCAGAGCCUCCAUGAGCCCCGGUCGAUGCAGUGUGCAGGGUCCGGCAUGAGCACAGGGCAAAUGCAGGGAGAGAGGAUCUGGAUUCAUUGGUGGCCGCAUGAGCUGUUAACGUCAGAAUCCUCACCAUGCAGUCUCUGAAUCUUCUAACAACCUUUAAGCCAUCAACAAUGGAAUCUGCGAAGCUGCUGAAAAAUUUGAAACCAUCUGCAGCUUUGCUAGUGCCAUGAUUGUGAUUGGGUAUCCCUGCAGAAAUGUGGCAUUGGCCAAGGACCUGUAGAACAUUUGGCAAUCAUGAUAUCAUGGUGAAGAAAACUGUGUCAAUGAGAUCUCUGUUAAAAUC
This is a non-coding RNA of Phoenix dactylifera (date palm), 1958 nucleotides long. The record is from RefSeq and is a predicted model, not a curated record. NCBI's taxonomy places the organism in Eukaryota, Viridiplantae, Streptophyta, Magnoliopsida, Arecales, Arecaceae.